GCCUGGAUAGUUCAGUCGGUGGAGCACCAGACUUUUAACCUGAGGCUCCAGGGUUCGAGCCCCCGUUCAGGCA
Non-coding RNA from Bos taurus (domestic cattle), 73 nucleotides. The record is from Rfam. Lineage: Eukaryota; Metazoa; Chordata; Mammalia; Artiodactyla; Bovidae.